GGGGACUACUAGGGUUUCUAAUCCUGUUCGCUACCCAUGCUUUCGCUCCUCAGCGUCAGUUACUGCCCAGAGACCUGCCUUCGCCAUCGGUGUUCCUCCUGAUAUCUGCGCAUUUCACCGCUACACCAGGAAUUCCAGUCUCCCCUACAGCACUCAAGUUAUGCCCGUAUCGCCUGCACGCCCGGAGUUAAGCCCCGGAAUUUCACAGACGACGCGACAAACCACCUACGAGCUCUUUACGCCCAGUAAUUCCGGACAACGCUUGCACCCUACGUAUUACCGCGGCUGCUGGCACG
This 296-nucleotide unclassified non-coding RNA is filed under the name uncultured Corynebacteriaceae bacterium. Its description in RNAcentral is "contains 16S-23S intergenic spacer region". Lineage: Bacteria; Bacillati; Actinomycetota; Actinomycetes; Mycobacteriales; Corynebacteriaceae. The record is from RNAcentral.